This is an RNA transcript of Eriocheir sinensis (Chinese mitten crab), 1196 nucleotides long. It is a transcript of the gene named protocadherin-11 X-linked-like, with no coding region annotated. NCBI's taxonomy places the organism in Eukaryota, Metazoa, Arthropoda, Malacostraca, Decapoda, Varunidae. The record is from RefSeq and is a predicted model, not a curated record. The transcript is spliced from 9 exons.
CACCACCACCACCACCUGACCACUAACUCACCACCACUACCACCACCUCCACCACCACCACCUAACUACAAAAUCCACCACCACCACCAUGACCUUUGUACCCCAGCAGGUGUCGGCGCUGGAUCCCGACCUGCCGCCCUCCGUCCACCAGAACAUCCUCUACUACUUGUCCCCCGACGAACAGCGGAACUUCACCAUUGACAGUCGCUCCGGCCAACUCUCCAUACGAGGCUGCCUAGACAGGGAGGCGGCGAUCCGAGGCACUAUGACCCUGUAUCCGCGAGCCAACGACGAGGGCGGAAAGGGCCACGACGCCGACCCCGCCACCGUGCACGUCACCAUCCUGGACCUCAACGACAACUACCCGCACAUCAUCAAGCCGCGCUUCAGAGCUGGGGUGUUGUGCCAAACUUGGGUCCACGUUCUCGACAAGCUUCUCAUAGCCUGGCAUCAGAAAAGAGACACACACACACACCCUAGCAGCUGGCCGGUGGAGGUGUGGGCGGCCGAAGACGCUGCAGGGAACACGCGAAAGCUCCAGAACUGAUGCGUGUGUGGCGCACGUGUGGUGGUAAGACGUUCUCCCUCCCUCCCUCUCGGUUUCUUCAGCACGGGAUGCGGGCGAGAGGAGUCUUGCUUGAUGGAGUGGAACAUUCAUCUGCAGAACCGCUGAGACUGCCAUGAGGACCCUCUCUGCCUCCUCACCAACCUCACGUCACUCCACCAAGAAGAAUAAGGUUGACGGGUGGUUGACGCUGUUCAACCUGCUCGGAAGUAGAAAAUUGAGUGCCCCAGGCCUGUGUGCUAGUGGUAGAUGUGCCCAACCCCCUCAAGCUUUGCCUCCUUACCACACUGAACACAUCACACCUCCUCAUCACCUCACCUACCUCCCCAUCCCUCAUGCUGUGCACCUCAGCAUUGUCCAGUCAUGUACAGCCACCACCACCAUCUCUGCCUGUCACUUUGAACUUGGUCUGGGAAGGAAGGGAAGCAUCUCAAGACUCAGGAAUCAAGGUCCACAGUCCACCGCAGUCCAUCAGGAGUGGGAGUCUGGUCUACCGUGGGACAGCAAAGGACUCGUCUCAUCUCGUCUCCCCCAGCAUCCAGGUAGUAUCUUGAAGGCCUGACUGGUUCCCUCGGCUCAGUGGUCUUGUCUCUGUCUCCCUCCCUGCAAGAGUCUGGCAGAGUUUAGUGCC